AACGAACGCUGGCGGCGCGCCUAAUACAUGCAAGUCGAGCGAGAAGACGUAGCAAUACGUUUGUAAAGCGGCGAACGGGUGAGGAAUACAUGGGUAACCUACCCUCGAGUGGGGAAUAACUAGCCGAAAGGUUAGCUAAUACCGCGUACGCUCCUUGGACUUCGGUUCAGGGAGGAAAGCGAUACCGUGGGUAUCGCGCUCUUGGAUGGGCUCAUGUCCUAUCAGCUUGUUGGNGAGGUAACGGCUCACCAAGGCUUCGACGGGUAGCUGGUCUGAGAGGACGAUCAGCCACACUGGCACUGCGACACGGGCCAGACUCCUACGGGAGGCAGCAGUAAGGAAUAUUGCGCAAUGGGCGAAAGCCUGACGCAGCGACGCCGCGUGGGGGAUGAAGGUCUUCGGAUUGUAAACCCCUUUCGGGAGGGAAGAUGGAACGAGCAAUCGUUCGGACGGUACCUCC
RNAcentral lists this ribosomal RNA (460 nucleotides) under uncultured bacterium. Its description in RNAcentral is "bacterial SSU rRNA". It matches the Rfam family "Bacterial small subunit ribosomal RNA", at positions 29 to 482 of the family's 1533-position model. The record is from RNAcentral.